This 258-nucleotide long non-coding RNA is filed under the name Rattus norvegicus (Norway rat). RNAcentral's name for it is "long non-coding RNA NONRATT030299". The record is from RNAcentral. Lineage: Eukaryota; Metazoa; Chordata; Mammalia; Rodentia; Muridae.
UUUCCCGAGGGCGCGGGGCCCUAUGUAGACUUGGAUGAGGGAAAGUUGAACCAGGAGCCCUCGAAAGAUGAGGCCCAGGCAGAAAAAGGCCAGAGCCAGCCGUCCAGUGUGCUGCAACCACAGGCUGGAGGUAGCACCGGGCUCCUGAUGGACUUGGCAGCCAAUGAAAAGGCAGUUCAUGCGGACUUUUUUAACGAUUUUGAAGAUCUCUUUGAUGAUGAUGAUGUCCAGUGAGGCCGUCGGGUCAUAUAUGCUCCA